GACGAACGCUGGCGGCGUGCUUAACACAUGCAAGUCGAACGGAAAGGCCCUGCUUUUGUGGGGUGCUCGAGUGGCGAACGGGUGAGUAACACGUGUGUAACCUGCCCCUGACUUUGGGAUAACUUCAGGAAACUGGGGCUAAUACCGGAUAGGAGCUCCUGCUGCAUGGUGGGGGUUGGAAAGUUUCGGCGGUUGGGGAUUGACUCGCGGCUUAUCAGCUUGUUGGUGGGGUAGUGGCUUACCAAGGCUUUGACGGGUAGCCGGCCUGAGAGGGUGGCCGGCGACAUUGGGACUGAGAGACGGACCAGACUGCUACGGGAGGCAGCAGUGGGGAAUAUGGCGCAAUGGGCGGAAGCCUGUUGCAGCAGCGCCGCGUGCGGGAUGACGGCCUUCGGGUGGUAAACAGCUGUCGCCUGUGACGAAGCGUGAGUGACGGUAAUGGGUAAAGAAGCACCGGCUAACUACGUG
RNAcentral lists this ribosomal RNA (468 nucleotides) under uncultured bacterium. RNAcentral describes it as "partial 16S ribosomal RNA". It matches the Rfam family "Bacterial small subunit ribosomal RNA", at positions 28 to 507 of the family's 1533-position model. The record is from RNAcentral.